CAGUCGCACGGGAAUACGUAGGUGGCAAGCGUUGUCCGGAAUUAUUGGGCGUAAAGGGCUUGCAGGCGGUUUCUUAAGUCUGAUGUGAAAGCCCCCGGCUCAACCGGGGAGGGUCGUUGGAAACUGGGAAACUUGAGUGCAGAAGAGGAGAGUGGAAUUCCACGUGUAGCGGUGAAAUGCGUAGAGAUGUGGAGGAACACCAGUGGCGAAGGCGACUCUCUGGUCUGUAACUGACGCUGAGGAGCGAAAGCGUGGGGAGCGAACAGGAUUAGAUACCCGCGUAGUCCCUGUCUCUUAUACA
RNAcentral lists this ribosomal RNA (301 nucleotides) under uncultured bacterium. RNAcentral describes it as "partial 16S ribosomal RNA". It matches the Rfam family "Bacterial small subunit ribosomal RNA", at positions 509 to 808 of the family's 1533-position model. The record is from RNAcentral.